AGAGGAGAGACAAGUUACACUCAUCCAUAUCUACACAGGAGAGACACGUUACACUCAUCCAUAUCUACACAGGAGAGACAAGUUACACUCAUCCAUAUCUACACAGGAGAGACACGUUACACUCAUCCAUAUCUACACAGGAGAGACAAGUUACACUCAUCCAUAUCUACACAGGAGAGACAAGUUACACUCAUCCAUAUCUACACAGGAGAGACAAGUUACACUCAUCCAUAUCUACACAGGAGAGACAAGUUACACUCAUCCAUAUCUACACAGGAGAGACACGUUACACUCAUCCAUAUCUACACAGGAGAGACAAGUUACACUCAUCCAUAUCUACACAGGAGAGACACGUUACACUCAUCCAUAUCUACACAGCAGAGACAAGUUACACUCAUUCAUAUCUACACAGGAGAGACAAGUUACACUCAUCCAUAUCUACACAGGAGAGAGAGAAGUUACACUCAUCCACAUCUAGAGAGGAGAGACAAGUUACACUCAUCCAUAUCUACACAGGAGAGACACGUUACACUCAUCCAUAUCUACCCAGGAGAGACACGUUACACUCAUCCAUAUCUACAUAGGAGAGACAAGUUACACUCAUCCAUAUCUACACAGGAGAGACAAGUUACACUCAUCCAUAUCUACACAGGAGAGACAAGUUACACUCAUCCAUAUCUACACAGGAGAGACAAGUUACACUCAUCCAUAUCUAAACAGGAGAGACAAGUUACACUCAUCCAUAUCUACACAGGAGAGACAAGUUACACUCAUCCAUAUCUACACAGGAGAGAGAGAAGUUACACUCAUCCACAUCUAGAGAGGAGAGACAAGUUACACUCAUCCAUAUCUACACAGGAGAGACACGUUACACUCAUCCAUAUCUACAUAGGAGAGACAAGUUACACUCAUCCAUAUUUACACAGGAGAGAGACAAGUUACACUCAUCCAUAUCUACACAGGAGAGACAAGUUACACUCAUCCAUAUCUACACAGGAGAGAGGGAAGUUACACUCAUCCAUAUCUACACAGGAGAGACAAGUUACGCUCAUCCAUAUCUACACAGGAGAGAGACAAGUUACACUCAUCCAUAUCUACACAGGAGAGACAAGUUACGCUCAUCCAUAUCUACACAGGAGAGAGACAAGUUACACUCAUCCAUAUCUACACAGGAGAGACAAGUUACACUCAUCCAUAUCUACACAGGAGAGACAAGUUACACUCAUCCAUAUUUACACAGGAGAGAGACAAGUUACACUCAUCCACAUCUACACAGGAAAAGACAAGUUACACUCAUCCAUAUCUACACAGGAGAGAGACAAGUUACACUCAUCCAUAUCUAGAGAGGAGAGAGAGAAGUUACACUCAUCCAUAUCUACACAGGAGAGACAAGUUACACUCAUCCAUAUCUACACAGGAGAGAGAAGUUACACUCAUCCAUAUCUACACAGGAGAGAGAGAAGUUACACUCAUCCACAUCUACACAGGAGAGAGAGAAGUUACACUCAUCCAUAUCUACACAGGAGAGAGAAGUUACACGCAUCCAUAUCUAGAGAGGAGAGAGAUAAGUUACACUCAUCCAUAUCUACACAGGAGAGACAAGUUACACUCAUCCAUAUCUACACAGGAGAGAGACAAGUUACACUCAUCCAUAUCUACACAGGAGAGAGACAAGUUACACACAUCCAUAUCUAG
Molecule: long non-coding RNA, 1695 nt
Organism: Oncorhynchus kisutch (coho salmon)
Lineage: Eukaryota; Metazoa; Chordata; Actinopteri; Salmoniformes; Salmonidae
Source: Ensembl